AAUUACUAAAAGUUAUAAUCUCCAAAUUUAAAGGAUUUGGCGGUAAUUUAGUCCAGUUAGAGGAACCUGUUUAAGAAACGAUACACCACGCAACAUCUUACCUAUCCCAAAAAAGUUUGUAUACCGUCAUUCUCAGAUAACUCUAAGAAGAUAAAGUUAUUUCAACAAGCGUCACUUAGUAUAUUAGAUCAAGGUGCAGCCUAUGGGCAGGUUAUAAUGGGUUACAAUAAAAUUUAUUUAAAUACGAAUCUAAAACAGAAUUGUUUUAAUGAAGGAGGAUUUAAUAGUAAACAUAGUUUAAUAAGCUAAUUUGAUAAAGGAUCUAGAUUGAGUACAUAUCGCCCGUCGCUUUCAUUACCAAAUGAAAUAAGUCGUAACAUAG
Molecule: ribosomal RNA, 382 nt
Filed under: Callichirus aff. major ULLZ 6056
Lineage: Eukaryota; Metazoa; Arthropoda; Malacostraca; Decapoda; Callianassidae
Description: partial 12S ribosomal RNA
Rfam family: Microsporidia small subunit ribosomal RNA
Source: RNAcentral